Syngnathoides biaculeatus (alligator pipefish) is the source of this 2115-nucleotide long non-coding RNA. RefSeq lists it as uncharacterized. NCBI's taxonomy places the organism in Eukaryota, Metazoa, Chordata, Actinopteri, Syngnathiformes, Syngnathidae. The transcript is spliced from 9 exons. The record is from RefSeq and is a predicted model, not a curated record.
CUCAGCUUGUUGAGAAACUAGCAAACAAUUUAACAUAAGUGAUAAUGCUAGUAAGCUAGCUUCUAUCUGAAGCUAGUAUAAGUCAGCUAGAAUCUCAAGCAGGCUGGGGAAGCUAACAAGCUCGCAGUAAUUUUCAAUAACUGAGUUGGGGAGGACUCAUCCAGCAUCCAAAUCCCAGCAUUGCGGUGGUGUGGUUGGCUUUUGAAGCCAGCUAAUGAAGUGGAGAAAAUCGCUUGGCUCUAAAGCUAUACUGAAGAAAGUACCAAGGUAGGUGAUAUUUAAAGUGAUCAACAUUCAUACCCAGAGGAAAUGAAGCUGUGCAGCGUGGGACAACACUACAAACCGCAAGGACCUGAGUAGAAAUCUCAGGAUGAUGGCAGCAAUUGAGUGCCCACCUGUUGCUGGGAAUGUCCGACACAUUGGUGAUGGACUCCCUCUUCUCCAGUUUCCAUUGCUCACCUCUGGGAUCCACAAGGCACAGCUGACUCCUAACCCAUUGAGGUCUUAGCGGCACCUUUGCUCACCGUCAAAGUCCCGACGUCCACGUAACUGAGGGCCAGGGUGGUCGACCUGUGGAUCAACUUCUUGGGCCUGACGAACAUGACUUCAUUGCUUUUGUCGUCUACUGCCCGGACCAUGGGCUCUGGGAUGGACUGAGGGCUAACGGGCACCUGGACACCCUUCUUCCCUGCUUCUGCCUCCAUGGAUGGGCCAGGAUGUAGUAAUCCUCCGCGUUGAGCUGUCUGCGACCAGCAGGUGGAAUUGCUGGCAUUGUUGGACUCGUCGCUGCUGCUGUGGUUGGCUUUUGAAACUAGCUAAUGGAGUGAAGAAAAUAGCUUUGCUCUGAAGCUAAAUGAAGAAGGUACCAAGGUAGGUGAUAUUUAAACUGAUCAACAUUCACACCUAGAGGAAAGGAAGCUGUGCAGCGUGGGACAACACUACAAACCGCAAGGACCUGAGCAGAAAUCCCAGGAUGAUGGUAGCAGUUGAUUGCCCACUUGUUGCUGGGAAUGUGCAACACAUUGGUGACGGACUCCAUCUUCUCCCAUUCCCACUGCUCACCGCUGUGAUCCACAAGGCACAGCUGACAUGAAUUCACUUGGUUCUACUGCGGGUGCACAUAUCCUCCAGGAAGUUCAUGGACCCCUUACAUCUUGGUUGUGUCACGGACGAAACUCGGGGGUGGACCCAAAUGCACGACUCAGUUGAGAGGUGCAUCCGCAGUCCGAUGCCUGUGCCGGGCUUGGUGCUUGGAGCAUUUUGGAAGCAGAGCAGAAGAGAUGCUCAAGAGCGGCCAGCAUCCAGCUGAGAUAAUGGAAUUGAGCGAGAUUUUUGACAAGCAGUUGAGCGAGCCAGCAGCACCUCUGUGCACCAACAGCAGGACAAGGAGAGGACGUUAGAAAUACAGGAACUACUGUACUGCAUAUUCAACGACACAAAUACAUUCCAAUAAACAAUUGCAACUAUGGGCCUCUGCUGUUGUUUGUUUUACAAGAUGACAUUCCGGAGCAAAACAGAAGCACCAACAUCAUGUUGACAGAAUCUCAAGCAAGAUAUGUUCAAUUUUUUUUGUUUUUUGUUUUUUGUUUUUUUUCCCUCAAGGAUUUGUUUUAGAACCUGCACAAAUUGAACACUUUUGAAAUACCUGUCAGUGAUUCAGAACUUCUGCCUGGGGGAAUCAUAUUCCUAUUCCUGAGCUGAAUUCUUGACUUUAGAGGCACAAAGUACAACAUUGCGCACUGACAGCUGACACAGAGAAGUGAAAGCAAACGGCAGGAACUACAAAAAGCCAUGAUGUGAUAAAUAAUAAAUAAAAGCUGUUUGACGUACAUAGGGAGCUGUCACGACAAUAAAUUUGCAUUCCUCUCUUUGUCAGGAGUCUUCAAGUGGAGUAUUAUAAAUGAUGCCAAUGUAGCUCAUUCACUUUACAGUGAAACUCAACUAAGGCCUAUACAUCCAUAACAUAUUUUUAGCUGUUUGGAAUAACAUAGUGCUUCAAACCAUGCUGUUGUCUACGAUUGCAUUUCUUCAGCCACGUGCAUUCUGUGGGGAGCGUAGCAUCGUGGCAGCACCUUGACAAGCUCAUCCAUCAGCACAGCAUGCUCACGUCCUCAU